Podarcis lilfordi (Lilford's wall lizard) is the source of this 70-nucleotide non-coding RNA. NCBI's taxonomy places the organism in Eukaryota, Metazoa, Chordata, Lepidosauria, Squamata, Lacertidae. The record is from the annotation of a GenBank genome assembly.
GGAUAGCUUAGUGGGUUAGAGUGUGGUGUUAAUAAUGCCAAGGUUGCAGGUUUGAUCCUUGUUUGGGACA